GGGCCUGACCAGCUCAACAGGUAGAGCAUGGCAUUAACGUUGCCAGGGAUAGGAGUUCAAUUCCCACUGGGACCA
Non-coding RNA from Merluccius polli (Benguela hake), 75 nucleotides. NCBI's taxonomy places the organism in Eukaryota, Metazoa, Chordata, Actinopteri, Gadiformes, Merlucciidae. The record is from the annotation of a GenBank genome assembly.